Long non-coding RNA from Myotis lucifugus (little brown bat), 897 nucleotides. RefSeq lists it as uncharacterized. The transcript has 2 exons. The record is from RefSeq and is a predicted model, not a curated record. Lineage: Eukaryota; Metazoa; Chordata; Mammalia; Chiroptera; Vespertilionidae.
CUGACGCUCGCGGUGGCCUCGGUCGCCGUCUCCUCGGGCGCCGCGCCGCCGCCGCCGGGCUCCCAGAUGCUGGGGCCGCCGCCGCCGCCGCCGCCAUUUUGUGGGGAAGACUCGGGCUGCGGAAGGGCCCGCUUCAUCUCCUCGUCGCCGCCGCCGCCACUUUCGCAGCUCGAGGUCGUCGGCGGAGUGGCUUCCGUCUCCGCAGCAGUCGCCAUCGCGCCGGCCCAGGAAGCUUCUGCCAACAAGGCGUCACACCAGCCAAACGGGACUCAAGCAGCGGGUGGGGAAUGACCCACCCUGUGGAACAGCUGCGAACAAAAGCCUGUAAAGGAGAUAAGAGAACGAGCUGCAGCACCGGAGCCUGAACGCCUCCGGCAAAGCCUCACUCGACUUCAGCCCCGUGCCAAUCCCUCUGGAUCGUGCAUCUUUACAGUUGAUUACUUCCACCAGCCCCCCACUCUUUUAUCUUUUUAAAAAAUAUUAUUUUUUUAAGAGAGAGAGGGAGAGAGAAACAUCAAUAAUGACAGAAUUUUCGAUCGGCUGUCUCCUGCACGCCCCUCACUGGGGAUGGAGCCUGCAACCCCGGCAUGUGCCCCACCCAGCAAUGGAACCCUGACCUCCUGGUUCAUGGGUCAGUGCUCCACGACUGGGCCACACCAGCCGGGCCCCACUCUUUUAUCUUAAGGAGUUAGAAGCGGUUGUACGCCUCCCGCAAGCAGCCAAUACCUGCGAUCCUUUGGUAUGACGUCAGCCUAGUGUUUACAGGAUUUUGUUCUGGUGAGCCUGCUGGCUGCUGACUUAAAUGUUUUUCCUUUGGUGUCUUUAGUUUCCUAGGGUGAGUGUAUACUGAAGAAAAAUAUAUUCAUUUGUAGCCACAUUAAAAAAUAUACAGCGCCC